This 255-nucleotide ribosomal RNA is filed under the name uncultured bacterium. RNAcentral describes it as "partial 16S ribosomal RNA". It matches the Rfam family "Bacterial small subunit ribosomal RNA", at positions 524 to 776 of the family's 1533-position model. The record is from RNAcentral.
UACAGGGGGGGCAAGCGUUUGUUCGGAAUUACUGGGCGUAAAGGGUCUGUAGGUGGCCAACUAAGUCAGACGUGAAAUCCCUCAGCUUAACUGGGGAACUGCGUCUGAUACUGGAUGGCUUGAGUGUGGGAGAGGAAUGCGGAAUUCCAGGUGUAGCGGUGAAAAUGCGUAGAUAUCUGGAGGAACACCGGUGGCGAAGGCGGCAUUCUGGACCAUAACUGACACUGAGAGACGAAAGCCAGGGGAGCAAACGGG